RNAcentral lists this long non-coding RNA (826 nucleotides) under Homo sapiens (human). Its description in RNAcentral is "non-protein coding lnc-HS3ST5-10:1". Lineage: Eukaryota; Metazoa; Chordata; Mammalia; Primates; Hominidae. The record is from RNAcentral.
AAUGUGUGAUCGUUUAUCUGUAAAUGUUUUCCUUGUUGUCUUUAGUAUCCUAUGUUUUGGCUCCCAUGAACCUAGUUAAUUCUUAGCAACUUUCAAGAUCAAGAUUAGCCAUGGGAAUAGGCAACCAGCUGUUACAUCUUUUUGGUUUAGUAACUUACUGACAUGCAUUUCAAAGUUACAGAUAUUAUAGGUAUUUAAGGAGUUUCAAAGAAAGUAAAUUAUAAAGCAAUUGAAGUUGCUUUUAGAAUGUUAACUUAUUGUAAUAUUAAGGGGAAAGGCCUAGAAAAUUUAAGCCUGUGUUUUAAUUAAAUAAGAAUUGUUGUACUUAGACAACUAUUGAGUUCUUGUUAAUAGACAGAAAUAUUCCACAGAUAAUCCUGAUAAGAUUUGAUGAUCUUUCACAGAUAACACUUUAAUUACCUUGGAUAAAACAAUAAAUAUAUUUUAAAGUUGGAAACUUUAUAUUAUACUGUGAAGUGUAUGUUUGAUGAUUGCAUCAAGCAAAAAAGUAUUUGUGGGAAAUAGUUUUUGUAAGAAAAGGCUUUCAUUAAUUUGCAGAAUGUGUUGAAAUUAAUGAAAUCCAUCUUCCACAGUUAAUGUUGGAGAAGAUUGUCCAGUGUUUGAUGGACUCUUUGAGUUUUGUCAGCUCUCAACUGGCGGUUCAGUUGCUGGAGCUGUGAAGUUAAACCGACAACAGACUGAUAUGGCUGUUAAUUGGGCUGGAGGAUUACAUCAUGCUAAGAAAUCAGAAGCAUCAGGAUUCUGUUACGUUAAUGAUAUUGUGCUUGCCAUCCUUGAAUUACUAAAGUAUCAUCAGAGAGUCUUA